GCUCCCCCGCCACGGAGGAGACUCACCACCGCGCCGCCGCCGCGGAGGAGAGGCGGCACCGCGCCGCCAUUGAACCGGGCCAUCGCGGAGGAAUAGGGCACUAGUCUGUAUCAGAAUUGAAUGUUGUGCAAUGGCAGAAAUUGGAAAGAGGACACCCAAAGUUGGAGUGAGGGCCACGUCCGGUUUGAUGUGAGGAAAAGAUCCACCAUCAAAAGCAGAAGUGAUGGAGUGAUUACUUCGCGCUGGUUUGUUUGUUCCAAUGAAGGCCAUCGAAGGAAAAACCAAACAGAUCAUGAGCCAAAGCGUAUUAGAGCUGAAACAAGAACGAAUUGCAAGGCUCAUAUGAUUGUUACAUAUGAUCGAGUUGCCAAACAUUUUGAAGUCACCGAAGUUGAUUUGGAACACAAUCACCGCCUUCAAUUGCCACAGACCCGCCACUUGUUGGCAUCACAAAGGAAGAUUUCAGAACUGCAAGCUUUCGAGAUAGAAACAGCCGAUGAUAGUGAGGAGCAUAUAGCCAACAUAUUCUGGGUUGAUGCUAAAAUGCUACUUGACUAUGCACACUUUGGCGAUGUUGUCACAUUUGACACUACAUUUGGCACAAACAAAGAGUAUAGGCCAUUUGGUAUUUUUCUUGGGCUGAACCAGUUCAGAAAAACAACCAUUUUUGGUGCUGCCUUGAUGUUCGAUGAAACACGUGACUCCUUUAUAUGGCUCUUUGAGACUUUUCUAGCCGCACAUAAGAGAAUGUUGACCCAAAUGUGAAGCAAGUAGAUGAGAUGCUUAGAUCUGCACGGCUGAAGAAAAAAGAGGUUCCGGCAAAGAACUUAAGGAGGAAGAAAACUUGGUUGGACAAGUUACUCAAGGGGAAGCACAGAGUAACUAAAGGGCCAACAAAACAGGGAGAGAAGCCACAAAAGAAGAAGGAUGGUGUGCAAAAAAAGAAAAAAAGAUGGUGUGCUUCCUCAAGUAGGAGUGGAGAAGUAUGACAACAACAAAGAAGUAAAUUUGGUGCUUCAAGAGUGCAAUAAUAUUACGAGCUUCACCCAGCUCUUGACAGCUAACCUUGAUAAUCUGUUCUAGCAUGGAAUCUGUUACAUAAUAUUUUGUACAUGGUGCUGAUGAUGAACAUUAUCUGAUCUAGCAUGGAACUUAUUAGAUAGUAUUUUGGACAUAGUUAACUAUAGUAGUAUGGGGUUAACUAUAUUUUGUGGCCUAAGUGUACAAGUGAAAUGGUCGUUUCGUGGAGAAUUUGAAAUGGCCGUUUUGUGGCCUAAUCUGUUCUGGUAUGGGGUUAACUAUAUUAUUUUGUGGCCUAAGUGUACAAGCAAGUGGUACCGAAUUUGUAUUGUUAAAUUACUGCUGUUUUACUGUU
Long non-coding RNA from Lolium rigidum, 1375 nucleotides. RefSeq lists it as uncharacterized. Lineage: Eukaryota; Viridiplantae; Streptophyta; Magnoliopsida; Poales; Poaceae. The record is from RefSeq and is a predicted model, not a curated record. The transcript is spliced from 3 exons.